AUGGCAGACACUGACAACCUGCCUAGCUAAGGCAGUUAAAAGAGGAGUGAAUGCUCUCAAAAACCUGCAAGUGAAAGGUGCACAGAUAGAAGCCAAAUUCUAUGAGGAAGUUCACGAUCUUGAAAGGAAGUAUGCUGUUCUCUAUCAGCCUCUAUUUGAUAAGCAAUUCGAGAUUAUUAAUACAAUUUAUGAACCUACGGAGGAAGAAUGUGAAUGGAAACCAGAUGAAGAAGAUAAGAUUUCAGAGGAGUUGAAAGAAAAGGCCAAGACUGAAGAUAAGAAAAACGAUGAAGAGCAAGAAGACCCCAAGGGAAUUCCUGACUUUUGAUGACCUGUUUUUAAGAAUGUUGACUUGCUCAGUGAUACGCUUCAGGAACAUGAUGAACCUAUUCUGAAGCAUGUGAAAGAUACUAAAGUGAAGUUCUCAGAUGCUGGCCAGCCUAUGAGUUUUGUCCUAGAAUUUCACUUUGAACCCAGUGAAUAUUUUACAAAUGAAGUGCUGACAAAAACAUAUAGGAUAAGGUUAGAACCAGAACCAGAUGAUUCUGAUCCCUUUUCUUUUGAUGGACAAGAAAUUAUGGGUUGUACAGGGGGCCAGAUAGAUUGGAAAAAAGGAAAGAAUGUCAUUCUGAAAACCACUAAGCAGCAGCAGAAACACAAGGGACAUGGGACAAUUCGUAUUGUGACUGAAACAGUUUCCAAUGACUCUUUCUUUAAUUUUCUUGCCCCUCCUGAAGCUCCUGAGAGUGGAGAUCUGGAUGAUGCUGCUGAAGCUGUCCUUGCUGCAAACUUCAAAACUGGUCACUUUUUACGUGAGCAUGUAAUCCCAAGAUCAGUGUUACAGUUUACUGGAGAAGCUAUUGAAGAUGACGAUGAGGAGUAUGAUGAAGAAGGUGAAGAAGCAGAUGAGGAAGGGGAAGACAAAGGAGAUGAGGAAAAUGAUCCAGACUGUGGCCUGAAGAAGGAUCAAAACCCAGCAGAGUGCAAGCAGCAGUGAAGCAGGAUGUAUGUGGCCUUGAGGAUAAUCUGCACUGUACCAGCCUAAACACAACUCUUACUUACUGCCUUAUGUUUUUUUAUUUUCUUGGUAGACUAGGUAAUUUUUGUUUUAAAGGACAGGAAACUGAUAUUUUAAAGACCAAUCUGUUCUACCUAGCAUUUUCAUUAGUUUUUCUGCCAGAUAUGUUGAAUGCACAAAUUCUGUCACACAUGUUCAUUCACUGCUACAUAAUUUGGUUCUUCUGGAAUAUUUUUUAUAGCUCUUGGAGUACAGCUAUGAAAAUUAACAACUGUUAAAGGAAACACUUUUUUUUUUCAUAAUUUUUUCCUUGAAGAACCAAAGUAUUUUUUCAGCUGUUUAUUGAAUAGGUUUAAGUCUGCUUGGAUUAGCUGUGCCUUUUAUUACUUUGUUACAGAAAUGCAGGGACUUGUACUAAGACAAUUCAUCGUUUAAAAAAAAAAAAAAACUGGCAUGCCAGUUGCAGUGGCUCACGCCUGUAAUCCUAGCACUUUGGGAGG
Molecule: RNA transcript, 1518 nt
Organism: Nomascus leucogenys (northern white-cheeked gibbon)
Lineage: Eukaryota; Metazoa; Chordata; Mammalia; Primates; Hylobatidae
Gene name: nucleosome assembly protein 1-like 1 pseudogene
Exons: 1
Source: RefSeq, a predicted model, not a curated record